This 491-nucleotide ribosomal RNA is filed under the name uncultured bacterium. RNAcentral's name for it is "bacterial SSU rRNA". It matches the Rfam family "Bacterial small subunit ribosomal RNA", at positions 18 to 507 of the family's 1533-position model. The record is from RNAcentral.
CCUGGCUCAGAUUGAACGCUGGCGGCAUGCCUUACACAUGCAAGUCGAACGGCAGCGGACCUUCGGGUGCCGGCGAGUGGCGAACGGGUGAGUAAUAUAUCGGAACGUACCUUUCAGUGGGGAUAACGUAGCGAAAGUUACGCUAAUACCGCAUAUUCUGUGAGCAGGAAAGCAGGGGAUCGCAAGACCUUGCGCUGAUUGAGCGGCCGAUAUCAGAUUAGCUAGUUGGUGAGGUAAAGGCUCACCAAGGCGACGAUCUGUAGCGGGUCUGAGAGGAUGAUCCGCCACACUGGAACUGAGACACGGUCCAGACUCCUACGGGAGGCAGCAGUGGGGAAUUUUGGACAAUGGGCGCAAGCCUGAUCCAGCCAUGCCGCGUGAGUGAAGAAGGCCUUCGGGUUGUAAAGCUCUUUCGGCCGGGAAGAAAUCGCACGGGUUAAUACCCUGUGUGGAUGACGGUACCGGAAUAAGAAGCACCGGCUAACUACGUG